RNAcentral lists this ribosomal RNA (169 nucleotides) under uncultured Stenotrophomonas sp. Its description in RNAcentral is "partial 16S ribosomal RNA". It matches the Rfam family "Bacterial small subunit ribosomal RNA", at positions 359 to 525 of the family's 1533-position model. Lineage: Bacteria; Pseudomonadati; Pseudomonadota; Gammaproteobacteria; Lysobacterales; Lysobacteraceae. The record is from RNAcentral.
GAUGGGGGUCGGGCGCAGCCUGAUCCAGCCAUACCGCGUGGGUGAAGAAGGCCUUCGGGUUGUAAAGCCCUUUUGUUGGGAAAGAAAAGCAGUCGGUUAAUACCCGAUUGUUCUGACGGUACCCAAAGAAUAAGCACCGGCUAACUUCGUGCCAGCAGCCGCGGUAAUA